ACUCAAAGGAAUAGACGGGGGCCCGCACAAGCGGUGGAGCAUGUGGUUUAAUUCGAUGCAACGCGAAGAACCUUACCUGGGUUGGAAUACGUCGGACAGGAGUAGAGAUAUUCCCUCGUAGCAAUACGCCGACGGUUAGGUGCUGCAUGGCUGUCGUCAGCUCGUAUCGUGAGAUGUCGGGUUAAGUCCCUUAACGAGCGCAACCCUUAUCCCUAGUUGCCACCAUUAAGUUGGGCACUCUAUGGAGACUGCCGGUGUUAAACCGGAGGAAGGCGGGGAUGACGUCAAGUCCUCAUGGCCCUUAUGUCCAGGGCUACACACGUGCUACAAUGGCCGGUACAAAGGGUUGCCAACGCGCAAGCGGGAGCUAAUCUCAGAAAACCGGUCUCAGUUCGGAUUGAAGUCUGCAACUCGACUUCAUGAAGCUGGAAUCGCUAGUAAUCGCGGAUCAGAACGCCGCGGUGAAUACGUUCCCGGGCCUUGUACACACCGCCCGU
RNAcentral lists this ribosomal RNA (497 nucleotides) under uncultured bacterium. Its description in RNAcentral is "partial 16S ribosomal RNA". It matches the Rfam family "Bacterial small subunit ribosomal RNA", at positions 899 to 1397 of the family's 1533-position model. The record is from RNAcentral.